This is a non-coding RNA of Marasmius tenuissimus, 103 nucleotides long. Lineage: Eukaryota; Fungi; Basidiomycota; Agaricomycetes; Agaricales; Marasmiaceae. The record is from the annotation of a GenBank genome assembly.
GAUCCCUUAGCUCAGCGGUAGAGCAUCUGAUUCCAGUGACCAGGCACAUAGUGUCCACGGUUUGGCAUCCAGAAGGUCGUCCGUUCAAUCCGGGCAGGGAUCA